RNAcentral lists this ribosomal RNA (465 nucleotides) under uncultured bacterium. Its description in RNAcentral is "partial 16S ribosomal RNA". It matches the Rfam family "Bacterial small subunit ribosomal RNA", at positions 339 to 795 of the family's 1533-position model. The record is from RNAcentral.
CUACGGGAGGCUGCAGUCGAGAAUCUUUCGCAAUGGGGGAAACCCUGACGAAGCGACGCCGCGUGAGCGAUGAAGGCCUUCGGGUUGUAAAGCUCUGUCACAGGGGACGAAACGCCUAGUGGUAAAUAAUCAUUAGGUUUGACGGUACCCUGAGAGGAAGCCCCGGCUAACUCCGUGCCAGCAGCCGCGGUAAUACGGAGGGGGCAAGCGUUGUUCGGAUUUACUGGGUGUAAAGGGUACGUAGGCGGUAUAGUAAGUUAGAUGUGAAAUCUUCGGGCUCAACCCGAAAACUGCAUUUAAUACUGCUAAACUAGAGUAUGUAAGAGGAAGAUGGAAUUCUUGGUGUAAGAGUGAAAUCUGCAGAUAUCAAGAGGAACACCUGUUGCGAAGGCGAUCUUCUGGGACAAUACUGACGCUGAGGUACGAAAGCUAGGGGAGCGAACGGGAUUAGAUACCCCUGUAGUC